GGGUUGUGAGGUUAAGCGACUAAGCGUACACGGUGGAUGCCCUGGCAGUCAGAGGCGAUGAAGGACGUGCUAAUCUGCGAUAAGCGUCGGUGAGGUGAUAUGAACCGUUAUAACCGGCGAUUUCCGAAUGGGGAAACCCAGUGUGUUUCGACACACUAUCAUUAACUGAAUCCAUAGGUUAAUGAGGCGAACCGGGGGAACUGAAACAUCUAAGUACCCCGAGGAAAAGAAAUCAACCGAGAUUCCCCCAGUAGCGGCGAGCGAACGGGGAGCAGCCCAGAGCCUGAAUCAGUGUGUGUGUUAGUGGAAGCGUCUGGAAAGGCGCGCGAUACAGGGUGACAGCCCCGUACACAAAAAUGCACAUACUGUGAGCUCGAUGAGUAGGGCGGGACACGUGGUAUCCUGUCUGAAUAUGGGGGGACCAUCCUCCAAGGCUAAAUACUCCUGACUGACCGAUAGUGAACCAGUACCGUGAGGGAAAGGCGAAAAGAACCCCGGCGAGGGGAGUGAAAAAGAACCUGAAACCGUGUACGUACAAGCAGUGGGAGCCUCUUAAUGGGGUGACUGCGUACCUUUUGUAUAAUGGGUCAGCGACUUAUAUUCUGUAGCAAGGUUAACCGAAUAGGGGAGCCGAAGGGAAACCGAGUCUUAACUGGGCGUUAAGUUGCAGGGUAUAGACCCGAAACCCGGUGAUCUAGCCAUGGGCAGGUUGAAGGUUGGGUAACACUAACUGGAGGACCGAACCGACUAAUGUUGAAAAAUUAGCGGAUGACUUGUGGCUGGGGGUGAAAGGCCAAUCAAACCGGGAGAUAGCUGGUUCUCCCCGAAAGCUAUUUAGGUAGCGCCUCGUGAAUUCAUCUCCGGGGGUAGAGCACUGUUUCGGCAAGGGGGUCAUCCCGACUUACCAACCCGAUGCAAACUGCGAAUACCGGAGAAUGUUAUCACGGGAGACACACGGCGGGUGCUAACGUCCGUCGUGAAGAGGGAAACAACCCAGACCGCCAGCUAAGGUCCCAAAGUCAUGGUUAAGUGGGAAACGAUGUGGGAAGGCCCAGACAGCCAGGAUGUUGGCUUAGAAGCAGCCAUCAUUUAAAGAAAGCGUAAUAGCUCACUGGUCGAGUCGGCCUGCGCGGAAGAUGUAACGGGGCUAAACCAUGCACCGAAGCUGCGGCAGCGACACUAUGUGUUGUUGGGUAGGGGAGCGUUCUGUAAGCCUGUGAAGGUGUACUGUGAGGUAUGCUGGAGGUAUCAGAAGUGCGAAUGCUGACAUAAGUAACGAUAAAGCGGGUGAAAAGCCCGCUCGCCGGAAGACCAAGGGUUCCUGUCCAACGUUAAUCGGGGCAGGGUGAGUCGACCCCUAAGGCGAGGCCGAAAGGCGUAGUCGAUGGGAAACAGGUUAAUAUUCCUGUACUUGGUGUUACUGCGAAGGGGGGACGGAGAAGGCUAUGUUGGCCGGGCGACGGUUGUCCCGGUUUAAGCGUGUAGGCUGGUUUUCCAGGCAAAUCCGGAAAAUCAAGGCUGAGGCGUGAUGACGAGGCACUACGGUGCUGAAGCAACAAAUGCCCUGCUUCCAGGAAAAGCCUCUAAGCAUCAGGUAACAUCAAAUCGUACCCCAAACCGACACAGGUGGUCAGGUAGAGAAUACCAAGGCGCUUGAGAGAACUCGGGUGAAGGAACUAGGCAAAAUGGUGCCGUAACUUCGGGAGAAGGCACGCUGAUAUGUAGGUGAAGUCCCUCGCGGAUGGAGCUGAAAUCAGUCGAAGAUACCAGCUGGCUGCAACUGUUUAUUAAAAACACAGCACUGUGCAAACACGAAAGUGGACGUAUACGGUGUGACGCCUGCCCGGUGCCGGAAGGUUAAUUGAUGGGGUUAGCGGUAACGCGAAGCUCUUGAUCGAAGCCCCGGUAAACGGCGGCCGUAACUAUAACGGUCCUAAGGUAGCGAAAUUCCUUGUCGGGUAAGUUCCGACCUGCACGAAUGGCGUAAUGAUGGCCAGGCUGUCUCCACCCGAGACUCAGUGAAAUUGAACUCGCUGUGAAGAUGCAGUGUACCCGCGGCAAGACGGAAAGACCCCGUGAACCUUUACUAUAGCUUGACACUGAACAUUGAGCCUUGAUGUGUAGGAUAGGUGGGAGGCUUUGAAGUGUGGACGCCAGUCUGCAUGGAGCCGGCCUUGAAAUACCACCCUUUAAUGUUUGAUGUUCUAACGUUGGCCCCUGAUCGGGGUUGCGGACAGUGUCUGGUGGGUAGUUUGACUGGGGCGGUCUCCUCCUAAAGAGUAACGGAGGAGCACGAAGGUUGGCUAAUCCUGGUCGGACAUCAGGAGGUUAGUGCAAUGGCAUAAGCCA
Molecule: ribosomal RNA, 2349 nt
Filed under: Escherichia coli
Lineage: Bacteria; Pseudomonadati; Pseudomonadota; Gammaproteobacteria; Enterobacterales; Enterobacteriaceae
Description: partial 23S ribosomal RNA
Rfam family: Bacterial large subunit ribosomal RNA
Source: RNAcentral